UGGGGAAUAUUGCACAAUGGGCGCAAGCCUGAUGCAGCCAUGCCGCGUGUAUGAAGAAGGCCUUCGGGUUGUAAAGUACUUUCAGCGAGGAGGAAGGCGUUGUGGUUAAUAACCGCAACGAUUGACGUUACUCGCAGAAGAAGCACCGGCUAACUCCGUGCCAGCAGCCGCGGUAAUACGAAGGGUGCAAGCGUUAAUCGGAAUUACUGGGCGUAAAGCGCACGCAGGCGGUCUGUCAAGUCGGAUGUGAAAUCCCCGGGCUCAACCUGGGAACUGCAUCCGAAACUGGCAGGCUAGAGUCUUGUAGAGGGGGGUAGAAUUCCAGGUGUAGCGGUGAAAUGCGUAGAGAUCUGGAGGAAUACCGGUGGCGAAGGCGGCCCCCUGGACAAAGACUGACGCUCAGGUGCGAAAGCGUGGGGAGCAAACA
RNAcentral lists this ribosomal RNA (427 nucleotides) under uncultured bacterium. RNAcentral's name for it is "partial 16S ribosomal RNA". It matches the Rfam family "Bacterial small subunit ribosomal RNA", at positions 355 to 774 of the family's 1533-position model. The record is from RNAcentral.